Molecule: long non-coding RNA, 35941 nt
Filed under: Triticum aestivum (bread wheat)
Lineage: Eukaryota; Viridiplantae; Streptophyta; Magnoliopsida; Poales; Poaceae
Description: long non-coding RNA (TAES_LNC017047)
Rfam family: MIR1120/MIR1122 microRNA precursor family (bases 32083-32208)
Source: RNAcentral
UUUUUUUUUUUUUGUGGGAUCCACUAGCACAGUUGCAUACAGCACGCACGCAUUGCAGCCGUCUCCACUCCCAAGUCACUGCAGUGCCUCGCCAUGCAGCUCGUGGAGUCUUGCUUCACCAAGCCAUUCUUUUGGUCCGAGCCCCUGGUGCCAUGUCUUUCACGUGGUCACCGUGACCAUGUAUCUCCCGGCCUUCAGCAUCUGGUUUGGAUGCAACUAAUUGUGGUCGGUAUCACUACUCUGGGAGAGCUUAGCUUGGUUAUCAAGGUUCCAGAGCAUGCAUGUUACUACCUUGAUUUCACUGUUUUUCCCCCCUUCUGUUUGUGGUGAUGAUAUCACUACUCUUUAUCAGUGUGAUGUUAUAACUAGGAAUGCAUGUGUUAUUGGCUCUAUCAAGUGUGCAAUGAACUUUAUUAAUUCUAUUCUGUUCCUAAUGAUCGGAAAUUCCCGGUUUAUCAUGUUGUUAUAUAUUAUUAAGGCUACUAGUUAGGACCUUGUCACAUGGACUUGUUGAGCAUCAGUAAUGAUGGAUUCAACCAAAUAUCUUCAACGUUAGAAUUAUAUCAAGGAAAUUGUUCGCCCAGAUCGAUGCAUGUUAUUCGGUUGGACGAACAAAGCUGUGACAUCAAGAUAUCAUCAACACUGUGAUCUUAACACUCAUGUUCAUCAUCAUCAUGGAGACAUGCAUGGACAUGGACUCAUGGUCCAUGUUUCUCAUUUUGUUUGACACAUGUAGCUGGGAUGCGUGUGAGUUAUGAUCGUCCCAUUGCACCAAAAUGUUUUGGAUGCAUGUUACCUAGCCUACAGCAACAGCAGGCAUCAUGUGCUGAUCGUUCCAUUGCACCAAAAUAGAAAUAUGAAAUGUGAUGUAAGGAGUGCCAGAAAACACUAGCUAUUUAGCAUCCUUAUCUUUUCAGUCGCUUGAAUAUUCAUAGUAUAUAUGCAAGCGCCCCACCACCGUUGUUGUGCAUAUGGUGAAGACACUGGUUCGUGCAUGCAUGCUUCAUUGGGAUAUGCAUAGUAAUUUCUCUCACCUUACAUCUUACCAUGUGCUAUUAUAUUCCCUAGCAAGUAGUAUCAACCAAGCCAGAUUCUCUCUCUAAGGUAGCCACAAUUAGUUGAGUUUCAUUUGGAAAUGACACCUAGCUAAAUGAGCAGCUCAAGAGACAGACGAAGAAGACCAAUGUCUCUUCCUUCUGCCCUCCUCUCUAAUUUCUUUUUAACCCAGCCGUAAACUCUGAACUCUGAACUCUGCUAGCACAGCUAGCAGAAGCAGGCGACAUCUCGCUGGGGGUUAGGAUGGGUGAUUAAGUUUCUGGAACCGGCAUUAAAGGGUGGGGACUAAUGCCCCCCCCCCCCUAAUCCCGGUUCAGCACGAACCGGCACUAAUGGCCCGCCACGUGGCACGAGUCCGCGCCGGAGCCUGGGAGACCUUUAGUCCUGGUUGGUAAUACCAACCAGGACUAAAAGGUUUAGGGGUUUUGGGUUUUAUGAUUUAUUUUUCCUUUUAAUUUUGUGUUUUUCAUUUAAUUUUUUUUUAUUUAAAACAUAUUUUACACUACUACAUAUUGUACACAUUAUGCACAUAUAUAAAUAGAAUUUCUCGUAGAACUGAUCAUAUAUGUAUCAUCGACUUUCUCGCGCGACCAUUCACGCAUAUACACAUAUAUAAAAAGGGUAAGAACAAGAGGCUCACCACAAGGUGGUGCCGGCAACGGGACGGUGCGGGCGAUCGAUGGUCGUUAGGAUGGAGACGGGAAGGCACUAAGUAAACCAUACCUACAUAUGCAAACUAAGAGUUAUUUUGAGCUCAAAUUGCAUGUAAGUCAAAUAAACCACCACAAAUAAUUCCUCCAAAUUACUAAAACCCACAAAUUAAUCACUAUAUAGAGCAUUGCAAGAGUUAAUCUAGCAAUGAGAGAUGAAAGAACAAAGUUGCUAACCUUUGUGAUCACUUGAAUGGAUGGGGGCCUUCAAAUCUUGACAAAAUUUGGGCAAAAUGUGUGAUGAGCUCGAGGAAGAGGGGAAGAACAAAGAGGAGAGGAAAGGAAAGGGGAAGAACAGAGAACUCGGGCUGGACGAAGGGGUUUAUAUAGAGGCACGAACCGGGACCAAAGGUCCAUCCCUAGUACCGGUUCGUGCCACGAACCGGGACUAAAGGUGUUGGUGGGGCCACAGCCUGACAUCAGACUGAACCGGUACUAGAGGUUCACCAUGAACCAGGACUAAUGACCACCGCCCGCCUAGCCGUUGGAACCGGCACUAAUGAUCACAUUAGUGUCGGUUCAAUUACAAACCGGGACUAAUGAGAUUCACAUUAGGCCCUUUUUCUACUAGUUUUUUAUGUGUGUGUGGGGUGGGGGGGGUCCACCUUAAGCUCAACAUUUUUCUUUUUUUAGGUACCGGCCAAGCUCGAUUGCAAGUUUGCCAGUCAUUAAUUUUUGUUUUUCAGGAAAAGUUGGUGUUGGAUAUUAAUUUACUAUUGCACACUCAUUAUAAGAUGUUUUGACAAUUUAAUUUAAACAGCAAUAAUUUACUAUCACACACUCACUAUUUAUACUAUCUUGUUUCUAAAUGUAAACUAUUUCUGUUUAAAUUAAAUUGUCAGAACAUCUUAUAUUUAGAAACAGAGGGUGUGACAGAUUGUAUGAUUUUUUAUUUUUUAUUUUACUUUAAGCCAUUGAAUGCACAUCUGACCGAGUUGUAUAUAUGUCCUACUUGCCGUAACUUGCAUAAAAUGGAACAAAAUAGGAUAGCAUUGACUGAGAGUCGCACCGAGUGUAGCACCAAGGUAUGGCUAUGGAGAGGACAACCAUGUAUCGAGGAACUUCUGCCUCCUAAAUUAACUCUACGAUUAUGAAAUAAAACUCAUUUACCCUCGCAAAAAGAAAACUUGCACAGAAAAAUUGUAUUCCAAAGUUUCAAUAAACUGAAAAUGGUAAACAAUACCUUUGGGAUUGGUCGUUUGUCUUCCACCUCAAGAGCAUUCCUCGUACAUCUUCAAGUUUUCAUUUCCUUCCUCCUAUAUAAUUUCUCCUCCUACUUGAUGUCUCGUCUCUCCGCCUCUACUCCCCAUUCCUAUCAUGCUUUACGGUCCCCCUACCCCCAUACCACAUAAAGGGAAAUUAAGAGAGCUUGCUUAUUGCCGUCGUGGAGGAGACGCAUAGCUCAUUCUUGAUGCAAUGACGGCGGCGGCCGGUUUGCCAGGGAAUGCAGAUGGCUGGACAUUACAUGAUGGGACGACAUUACAUGAUGGAACUGUUGAAAUAUAUUGUCCACCUCUUUCUAUCGGUUCGGACUUUGGGAGCAACUAGCUGAAGCAUAAAUUCAGCAUGGUAUCCGAGCCAAGUGGCCUUAAAGUCAAGACCCUGCCAAUGCAGUAUCAAAAAAGGAUUUCGUGGCCUACAUUGAUCCAAAGUCUAAGGGCUAAAAUAGCCUAGAUGUAAAGGGGAGUGAAAUAUAUUGUCCGCCUCACUGAAGCAUGAAUUCAAUAGGAACAUGAGCCCAAUGUAACUAGUUCCCGUCGUCGAUAGAAUGUAGAGGUUAUUGAUGGCAGUACAGAGGUGGAGAAAGCGAUAACCCAAUGUUGAUGGUGGGACAAACUCGGAAGAUACAUGGGAGGCCGAGCUCAUUUGUCAUGUUGAAGCAACAAGGGUGCCCCCUAGUCGGGGGCCUUUCCCUAGCGCCUCGAACAGAGGGAACUGGUUGCUUUUUCCUAACAAUACGUGAUCCUAAAGGUGAUAUUUCAACUAUCAUAUGAAACUGGUGGCUUUUUCCUAACAAUACGCGUUCCUCGAGGCGAUAUUUCAACUAUCAUAUUCGCUGGAAAUUAUUGUUUCAAACAGAACUAAUUUCACAAUGCAAGAGUUAUAUUUUAAAUCCGGCUUGGUGUUGUCGACGUUGACAUUUUUCUUCUCUUCUCUAACAGUGAUAAAAUCUAGAAACAUUUGACUUGUCUGAAUUCUAAAACGACCUACAUUGCUGCGCCAAAUGUUCGGCUGGCUGAUAUCUUUGUUGUGUUAUCCCUCUUUAGGUUGAACGAUCUCUUAGCUUUAUCAGGCAAUGCAGCUAUUACAUUGUGUACACAGAAAAAUAAAAUAGUCACAUGAACAUAUCUGAAUGCCAGCAGAGGAUGAUGAUAGACAAAAGAAAAGGGGAAAACAAAUGUACAGCCCAUGAAUAGCACUUCAAAAGAAAAAGGAAAAAUGCAGAAGCGGAAAUAUUUUCUUACAGCCAGUCAGCUUCCUUCAUCACCACUCCAGAAUACAGUUUAUACAAACACCAAUGCAUCAAAAGAUACCAAAUGGAUGUCAUAUAAUGCAACACCCGCAAAACCUCUUGUCGUCCCGUGUAACGAUAUCCUACGCAAAAUGAAUGAGAAACGGAGAAGAAAGCAGCUUUAAGCCACAGUGAAGCUACUAAUCAAUUUACAAUUUCCCUCAAAUUUACAAAUUACAGCUACAUUUUUCCCAAGUGUGUAUAUGGUGCCGAAUAGCUCAAUUGUACUCCCGCCGAUCCUGACGGGUACGGGAAUGUUGAAGACUGUCACGCCACUGCACGCCUGCAUACGCAAAGAAUUGCUAUCCUGUUCUACAUAGUAACAAUUUUCGAAAUGCAGACUGGCGGAUAUCCGUGAGCCUAUUGCUACAACCCAUCUCCUGUGUAAAAUGAACAGCUAGCGCCCAAAGAUAUGAGCAUGUCCGAAUUCUCCACAGCCAGCCCUCGACGAUAUUAGCAAAAACAUGUCCACGGUAAUCUAAAUGGACGAUGGAGCCUGAGCAGUGAACGUGUACAAUCUACAGCGACGACUCACCCAAUUCCCAACCGACGAAUCAUAGUGGAAGAAGAUUCCGGAUAUACUGCCGGGAAGCACUGUUGCGUCCAAGGCCCAGCCCUAGGCCGAACGGUGUCCUCUCAUUCUUCUUGCUGUGGUCACAACACUGAGAGGAACCACCUUGACUGUGAGAGUUUGAGUUGGCAUGUGAAUCAGCACAAGCAUGGUCAUCGCAAUUACCAUGAUGGGAAUUGCCCUCGCCAUUCUGUGAGACUGCACUUGUCAUCUGUAUCAUUCCUAUUUCUUCGUCAGUGCGUGAUGCAUGCUCGAGCCGCUCAACGUCUUCAUUGUACCCGUUUACCAAGAAGUCUGAGCAGUUCUUGCGCACCCCAUGGUCGAACGGAUUUCUGAAUCUGCCAGCUGGGCCUCUUAGAUAAGUGUAUCUCAUGGAAUUGGCCAUCUCGUUGGUCGUGAUGUUCCUUGCUAUCUACAAGGGAGAGAAACAAUACAUGAAGAAGAAUACAUGGUACAGAUCAACAUGUCCCUCCUGUACUCCAGAGAGGCUAUAACUACUGGAUGGAAAGCAUGGUCCCACACAUGAACCUCACAGAUAGCUUCAUAAAUCAAAUAAGCAGACAAUGAUGUUUCGCAUCUGGCCUUGAUUUUAUCUCUGUUCAGUAAUUGCAAUCUUGACUUUGCUAUUGAAUUCCAAACAUGAUACAGUUUUAUUGACAAAUGCUUAACUAUAUUGCCUGACCAAUAAUGUUGUGUUCAUACUUGAUAGGUCAUAUACUCAUGAAUGAGCUGACAACGACAUGCCAAUCUGACAUAUCCAGCAAUUUCCAUAGAAAAAUGAUCCAGCAAGGCACAAAUAUCUGGGAAAACUCUAGUAAAGGUGUUACCGCAGUAGCAUACUUUCCGUAAAAAAAAGAUCCAGCAAGGCACAAAUAAUGUUAUGUUCAGGAUGUUUUAUACAAGUUCAUGCCUUAGUUUAGUUAGCAAUCAAAAAAUGUUGAAGAUUGUGCUACAAUGCACAAGCAUAUCGGUGGCUUCAUGAUUUUAGAAUCAAAUAACAAAUAACUUGGUUUUCUUAGGUAAAAACAUCCACGAUUUAUAACAUUAAAACUUUAAAUACCUGGUACGCUUGAACUCCUGUUAGACAUGCAACACCAAAGAAAAUGAAAAGGUCCAUCAUGAAAAAAGAAACAGCUCCAGUAUGGUAAACAACAGAAUAGCCUAGCCAAUCGCCAAAGGAUGCUGGAGAAGCUGGGUCACUUACAGUCCCUGCCAACAAAAAAAGUAAUGAAUCAUACGGAACAUUUCCAGUCCAUGUUGCAAGGAAAAGCCACAGAAGACUUAAGACUAUACUUAUGAUGGCAGCAGAACCAGUAAUGAUCAUUGCAAUUACUUCUAGAGUGAUGAACAUGAAGAAUUCCCAUUUGUUCUUCUGCAGUUACAUUCCACUAUAGAUCAGACUGAAGAACAAGCAGAUAUGAAGAGAAUAACAAAAUUCAAACAAAAAGUAAAGAAAGAAUCAGCAAGUGAUAAGCACAGGCUCUUCAUAGUGUCACUUUCUUAAAAGUAAGGUGGUAUCAUAACCUUUUGUCUACAUGAUAUUCAUCAAGCAACAUAAACCGUCCAAUACAUCUUCAGAAGAGGUGAUAAGUUGAUAGCUACAUUUGAUCACAUGUAGGCACAUAUGACAUGACUGAAAAGCCUACCUUGCCGACGCAAUUAGAUACCCAGGGGCAGUGAUGGUCAAACUGCUCAACACAGCGAUCACAUGUAGAACAAUGUUUCGAACGAACAGGUCUGACAAUCUGCAGAACGACACGUUCAGAAAUCAGAGGCCUAAGAAUAUAAUUCUAGGAUAGAGACAACUAAUUCAUCACUGUAUAAUGUAGUAAUGUACCGCUUACUUUGCAGGUUAUACAAAGCUGUGACCAGUUACCAGUCAGAAGUGCAGGAUUGUCUAACUCCAUCUUCAACAAGGGUUCCUAAAGCAAAAUGGGAUUGCAACAUUUUGGGAUAUGCUUAAACCUUAAAUUUGGUAACGCAUCUAGAAUAGCAAAUGAUCAUAAAGGUGCUUGCAGCAAACCAAAUUAACUCGGCUAAUCUUUCAAACUUACAUCGUCCCUUUGAUUAUGUGAAUCUCUUGUAUUCGCACUGAUGUAGCCAGGGUCUUUCCUGCAGAAAGUAAAAGCAAAUUUUACAUCAUAGUGGUGUUGCUUAAUGAUAAUUAGGUCGCUUGUCUCUAACUGGUGGCAAUGGGUUAGUAGCACUACAUUUUAAUAGAGCAAAUUUGCAACACAUAUAUACGUUGCAAUCGCAAAAGAAUAAUGUUUAAAUAAUUUGCCAUGUACGUAACACAUAUAAGAGUAAUCUAAACAGGAUGUCAUAUAUGAGUGCAAAUAUGCAAGCAGACACAUAAUGAACUCUGCCACUGUCUGAAAGUAUUGUCAAGAAAAGUGGUAACUGACAAGAAUCAACAUGCUUGCUGGAUUCAACCUUUUCAUAACUACUCCCUCCGUCCCAAAAUACUUGUUGUGGUUUUAGUUCAGAACUAAAGCCACGACAAAUAUUUUGGAACGGAGGACUACCCAAAUGCUUCAGUACCUGCUACAUUUAUAGAACAUGACCAAGCCAGCAGUUGCAACGAAAACUCCGGACCAUGCAAAUAGCCCAAAUGCUGGUGGCAUACCCAUGUUAUAUUGUCCUGGUAAAAAGGAAAUAUAAAUAAGCACCACAGUGCGGAAGAACAGGGCGAGUGAAAAGACAUUAGAAACGCCACUUACCUGCUAUAACAGAAUGUAUAUAUGUAGCAAGCAAUACAACAGCGAUACACCAAAGAAGAGGAGCAAGCCCUACUUUUGAUAGCUUUGCAAAUGUCGGAUUCCUGUUACAUCCACUGUCAUGUACCCUUCUAGCAUUGUCCUGUAAGGAAUGACGCAAAUCAAGUCUUCAGAUUCUUCUUGGAAACAAGAAAAGAUUUCCCCAGUUCAAAUAUCAGCAAUACUAAAGCCCUUUCAACUCAAGAUCAACAUGAUCGCUUUUUUGCAGAUAAUAUACAUUGAGGGAUAACUGAAACGGUUAAUCUACAAGGCAUCAUAAAUAAUUAAAGUGAAGAAGUCUUAAUCUAUCAGUGCAAUCAGCCAACCACAUGUAAAUGCUAAACAGUUAAUCAUUUCAAUUCCUAAGUUCAAAUGGAAUCUGCAAAAUAUCUGUGAGACAGUAAGAGAAUAGGUCACAAAGAAGAAAAUAUAUUUUUCUCCUUGGUUGCAUCUAUGUACAUACAAGUACCAGUUUCUGGUAUUUUCCAGCCAAACCAGUAUCUGCUUUUUGUUCUAAAUAUAGCCAAUUAGACAUGUCAUUUGACUGUACUUUUAUCAAGUCUACACAUAAAAUUACCAGGUUCAGAAAGCAUGUGCAUCAUUCAACAAAUUCGCCAACAAUACCUCAUCAUGAAACUCAGCCUUCCUUAACGAAUUUAAACAAUUAGAAAGCAGGCAUACAAAAUCUAUAGUGAUGCAAAUUAAUAUUGCUUAUAGUUUUUGUCUUUAUGCAAAUCAAAAUAAUUACUAGACAGAAUCCCUAUUAGAUGACAGUGCUUGUGCAUUGAGCCUCCGAGGUGCUGGAAAUAGCAGCUCAAGUAGACUAGAACAGAAAUGACAUGGUCCGUGUUGUUACUCACAAGAAAAAAUGCAACUUGUCGAUGAUUCUUAUCAGCAGCAAGCUGUGCUGGAGUUAAACCAGUUUUGUCUUUCACCAUCAAGUCAUCCUUUUUCCCAGCCUGAACUAGCACAGUGCAUGCUUCUAGAUUACCCCGGAUAGCAGCCCAAUGUAAAGGAGUACAACCUACGGCAGCAUUUGUCAUAAAGAAAUAAAAGUCAAGCUCCACGUGCUGUGUUCUAUUUACAGGCAGAGCAGUGAAUAAAUUUAGCACAUGCCUUCCUUAUCCUGCCGCACCCUAUGAGCAUCCAAAUACAAAAGAAGACGUAUCGAAUCUGCGAACCCCUUGUAAGCAGCCCUACAAGGUAAAUAAGCAACACAUAAGAAAACAGAAAUGUAAAUGUAAAAGCAGGUCCUAAAGUUCUGUUCAGACAUAUGUUACAUAAUGCACCAGCAGAAAUAAUUGGUAGGCUAAUGAGUUACUCAAGACUCAAGAGCAUAAGGUACGAACAAACCAGUGCAAUGGGCUUCUUCCAUCGUUGUCAGGGACAUCUGGAUCGGCAUUCCAUUUUGCAACAAUGUGAUAAAUAAAUGCUGUCUGACCAUACUGCGCUGCAACAUGUGUGGCCUGCAAACAACAGUAUAUAUUGAUUUAUAGAGUUGUAAUUAAUUCAAUGCCACAUGUGAAUGCCGUUGAUUCUUGCAUUUCUUUUCAUGUAGAAAAAAUCGUAUAGCCAAAGGUUUUUUUGUCCAUUACAUAUCUCUUAUCGUGUAACUUGCAGGAAAACAAGAUGGGAAUAGUUGAUCCAUUUGGCAGGCAAAUAUCCAACGACUAGUUGUCUAUCAGUUGUGAAUGAACAUUGGACACCCAAAAGCAAACACAAAGGCAAAACAAGGGCGAAAGACACGGAAGAAGUCAGUAUGCAGACCUGAUAGCCAUAUAAAUCAGCAGCAUCCACCUUAGCUCCCUCUUUCAGAAGUAGUUCAGCAACUUGUAUGUGACCACGUACAGAACUCCAGUGAAGUGCUGUCUGCCCAGUGUGAUCCACAGCAUUUACAUCUCCACCAUGCUGUCCAAAGACCACAAAAUCAUCACCCAGCCAAUAUAGAAAAUUAUUCAGGCAACUACAGCUACCAGGAGCAAGUACUGCGUAGAAAGCCCAUUCACGCACUCAAGUACAUAACAGGCAUACUCCUAUUGAUCGCCAUGGGGUACACUACAUUGUAUGAGCAGACUAUCCCAAGCCCACCACACGCUCAUUUGCUUAUACUCGAAACUGUGGAGGAAUUAAACUGAGGCAAAUGGUGAAUGCGACAAACAACAAGCUGGUGCCCUCGAACGAGUCCACGAGCUACAAAUCCAUGCGGUUAACCAACUCAAAUAUACGGCCUCGGGAAAAUUCCCCUCGUUGUAAGCAUGGCUGCCCAAACCUACCCAGCCACAGCACUAGGACAUUCAAUUGUCCCGUCAACCGAGUAAAUGAGCAGCUGAGAAAGCUCCCAUGGCUACACUCCAAGCUCAUACACACUUCAUGGAAUCCCCCAAAGGCCCAUACCCAAUGCAUGGCAAUUUCUGACCACGGUAACGAUAAGCAUCCAUCGUUUAAAGCUCGCAGCGGCGUAAAUUGUUCCGGACAUCGACACUAAGGCGCCCGCAGUUGUGUGGCAUGCAAAGUUCAGCUCGCAGAGCAAGCGCGCAUGGGUAAAGCUGAGAGGGGAGGGAAGCGGAGCGGGGCGGGGCCGGAACCUCGAGGAUGUACUGCGCGGCGGCGACGCGGUUGUUGAGGACGGCCCACUGGAGCGCGUAGUAGCCGGAGGCGUCGGUCCCGCCGACGGGGCGGCCCUCCGCCUCCACCAGCCGCUGCAGCUUCUCCAGAUCGCCGUACGCCGCCGCCGUGUACACGUCGUCCUUGAGCGCCUCCUCCUCCGCCACCGCCGCGGCCACCGGCACCUCCGCGGGCGUCGCCGCCGCCGCGGCGGUGGUGUCCUCGAGCACCUCGAUCUCCGACGCCAUGGGCGGGGAUCGGAUCGGGGGUUUUGGGGGAAUUGCGGGGCCGGUGGGGCGAGGGGAGGAGCUUGGCUCGGGCUGCCGCGGUGGUUGGGGAGAGCGUGCGUGCGUGCGUGCGUUUGACUGGGCGUUGGCGGCGAGGCGACGGCCUCCGGCGACGCGGGCGGGCGGGCUGGUCUCCGCUCUGGUGGUGGGCCGGAGGCGGAGAACGCGAGAGGGGGCGGGGGAGGGGAGACCCGGACCGGAGAAGGGGGACGAAUGUGGGGGAUUUUUUGCGUGUCAGGACCUCUGUUUUCCUUAUUUUCUGUCGGGCUACAGCUUCGAGUAAUUUGAAAGCCAUGAAAUUCAAAUUAAUUUACAACCUUAAUGCUACAUAUCUGAUUGUAAAUCAAUUCACAACUUCAGUUAAUGAUUGUUAGAGCUAGGUUUAAGCAUAGGUGGAGACAAAGGUGUUUACCCAAGUGGGUUGUGUCGCGUUGAUUUUUCGGUCUGGGUUUUUCCUUGGACCUCUCGAACCACCUGUAUUAUUUAAAUUUAAAAUGAACUCGGUUUAAAUAGUGAAGGCGUAAAGAUGAUUUGCGCCAUCGUCUACGGAGGCUCCACCCAUAUCCCUUUGCCAUUCUUGUUUUUUCCUACGUUACGUACUCGCUGCUUCUUCUUUUUUUAAAUAAAACAUCCUCUUUAUUUAUUAGUAAUAAUGGUUACAUCGUUUAUAAGGAAAUUUACAAUAUCGUACUCGCUGCUACUUCUAUUUACAUAUCUACUCCGUGGAUAUAAUUGGUUGAGACGUGACCUUUUCGAUAACUCGGCCUAUUUGGACAAGGAGUGUUUUCUAUAUGCUCCACCUCAAAGUACAUAAAAGUUGCACUUGAUCUAAGCAUGGCCUAAUUAGCGCUGCCUGUUCUCCAUGUUAAAUUCGCGGUACCUUUUUUUCCUUUUCGACAAGCACACUUUCUUUUUCUUGAUUAUCUUAGUUAUGUAGUGUUUUUUCUUGAUAAUCUUAGUUAUGCAGUGAUUUUCUAAUAACGCUUUUUCGAUACAGUAACUACUAUUAUUGUGAGAUGAAGAUAUUGAUAUCGUACUUUGUUUGGUUUCUAACUUACUAGAUGAUGCCAUUGAAAAUUUGAAAUGACAUUACGAUCCAAUUAAGCCUUAGAGCAACUCUAGCAGACCCCGCAAAACGCCGGCCCGCAAAACGCGUUUGCAGUUCGCGCAAAACCGCUUUUGCGGGCCGGCAAGGGCUAGCACAGAUGCAGACCCCCCAAACGGACCCGUAAAAAUGUAUAUUCGCGGAAUAUGCUUUUUUACGGGUCGGCUAUGCGGGUUCUGCUCGGGCUCCAGCGCAACGACCCGCAAACACAAGAACUGCAAAUCUGAAAUUGUCAUAGGGUUUCACAAACAAGUUCAAAUUCAAAUGACAUAAACAAUUUGCGCGCGAAUAAAAGCGAAGUUCGUUACGCAAAAGAGGGCAUGCAAAGGUAUGCGCCCAUGUCCGGCAUCAUCUUGGGGGUCGAUCUUUACUCGGCGCCAUGGAGUCCAUUUAAAACUUCAUUGGCGCCACCGUAGCCACCUCCGUCGCUUGUUCCAACUCCCGCACCGAAAUCAUCCACAUUGCCACUGUGUGGAGCAGAGAAAACAUCACCGGAACUGGCAGACGGACCGGCCGAGGCGACUAUUCUCCUCUUCAAGAUCUCUCUCCUUGCCAUAUCAUGCCAUGUUUUGGUGACCUCGUCCAUGCCAUUGCGGUUCAUUGACAUGAUCUUGUUCUCUUCGGCGAGCAACAAUGACAACGAUUUGUUUUCAGAGGCGCGUACUUUUCUCUCCUCAAUGGCAGCUCUGCGCAGCCCCUCUUCCUUGAGCAUUUGCCAUUUUUCUUGCUUCUCUUUUGCCUUCUUUUCGGCCAACUCUUUCUUGAUCUCCAACGACUUCAACAACAUUAACUCGUUUGAUUGCACCAUGGCAUCAAUCUUCUCCCUCAAGCUUGAUGCUUCUUGCUCUCUCUUUAUCUUCUCUCUAGUCUUCUUGUCGCCAUCGGGCUUAUUCAAAUUUCUUGGGCCAUCAUCAUCCUCGUCUUCAUCCAUGUUUGUAAGUGAGCCUCUCUUGGGUGGGGACUCUUUGUCGAUCAACUUUCACUUCUCGCACUUUUGGAGCAACUCCCAACAAUGCUCUAAUUUAAAAAAUCUGCCUUUCGAAGCUUCCAUGUCCUUGUAUCUUUGUUGAGCAAUCUUGUCCUACACAAUGCGAACAAGGUGAUGCAAUCAUUUUUCAUGAUACAUUAUAAUGAUGCACAACUUCAACAAAGGCAAAGCAAACUCACAUAGUCGGACUCCACGGUGCCACUUGGAGGUGCAUUGCGUACUUGCUCCAAGCAAGCUGCCCAACGGCUGCACAUAGGCUUGAUGUUCUCCCAACGACCUUGAAGCGACCGAAAUGUGCGUGGAGUCUUGUUGGGGUAGUUUUUCAUAAUGGGGAAGUAUUGAUCUUCGAUCAUUUGCCAAUAUCUCUUGGCGGUUUGAUUAGUACUCAGUGCUUGCAUCAAGAGACACCGCACUCCAUGCUUUGAUCAAAGCUUGAUCUUCCAAGAUGGUGUAGUUUUUGAUCUUUGGCUUUUCCCAGCUUUUGCUUGUGAAUUCUCAAACGUUUCCGCUUCAAUCUCCGCCAAGUCGUCCGCACAACCAUGAUCGUCCACGCCGCCCUCCGUUUCAUUGUAGACGAAAGGUUCGACAGGGGCUUGAUCAAUGUCAACCGCGUUCGUGUCCAACAAGUUCACGAACUUGGUUGUUGCAUUGUUCGAACCACCGCUAUACCGAACGAUGACAAGUCAUGAGCUAUCGAAAAACAAUGGCAAAAAUGAAAGAGAAUCACCAAAGUCCGAAAAGAGAUAUACCUUCCGGCCAUUUCGUCGAACACCUCGCUCGCGGGUGCAGUGGCACCCUUGAACGGCAUCGCCGGAGCACCACCUUGGGGGGGGGGAUGGAGUGAGGGGUUGAAGAAGAUUUGUUCCUUGAAGUCGGGACCUUCCUCCGCUUUACGCCCGCGACCUUGUCGGCCUUCUCCGUCGCUGGCCGGGAUCGCACAGCGGCAUUGGCGCCCGGAGCGCGGGCCAUCGCGGCGGGGGUAGCCGGAUUCCCGCCCUGCACAAGCACGUUGCCCUGCCGCUUGCGGGCAGGCGUGGCGUGUGCUUGGGCGACGCCGGCGGGGCCUACAUGGCCGGCGACGAGAUCCGCCCGAGGGGAAGGGGCGUGCGCGACCUCGACGGUGACGGGGGACAGCAUGGUGUCGUCCAUGGCGGCGAGGGACGGCCGGGGAGGAGCAGCCGGAGCUUUCAGAGGGGGGGCAAUGGUGGCGGAGGGUGCGGAGAGCGGGAAAGGGGGCGCGGAAAUGUCCCUCCCGCAUAAUCUCGCGCCGGAUGGGGGUUGAGCUCGGGUCGGCCUCCCAGCCCGUGAAGAUGGAGAUUGAGAGAGAAGAUUUGCCGCGCCCCACGAAAUUUUUUGCGGGCCGGGGCGUUUUACGGGGUCUGCUCGUGCAUAUUUUUUGGCCCCAACCCGAAAUUUGGCGGUUAUUUUGCGGGCCGGGGCGUUUUGCGGGGUCUGCUAGAGUUGCUCUUAAAUGACCCAGAUAAACAAUCUAUACUCUAAUGCCUCUACUUUGUUUACUCCAUUGACCGUGGGAAACAACACAUACUCCGACGCAUGUCCUUUUGUUAUACUCCAGUCAUCAGUGACCCUGGCAUAAGACAUUUUAACAGCUUUGUUCCUGAAGCCGCUACUUUCAUGCUUUCUUGAGAGGGUUCAGGACACCUCAAUUGGAGCAAUUUGACACAAAAAACAUAUACCACAAUAAGUCUGCAUUGCAUCCAUCCAAUCAUUUACACAAUGAUAAAAGUAACUCCCACUGAAAAUUCAAGACAUGAAAGUCCGAACAAUUCGCCUGGCCCAUGUGUCGGUGGACAUUUGAGGUGUCCGUUUUGAUGUACCGCGUUGGAGUUGCAAUUAAUUAUUUGGUAUGCAUGCUUGGAUUGGGAGUAUUUUCUAUGCUUCUCCUCAAAGUAGACAAAAAUUACACUCAACCCAAGCAUGGCCUAAUCAUUGUUGCUAGUUGUUGGCUGUAUAGUUUUCAAUGUUAAUCCAAGCCUCCUUUUUCUCCAUUGUCUUACUUGUGCAGUGUUUUUCUAACAAGACUUUUUGCAAUACACUAAUUAUGUUAACUUAAGAUUAAGACGUUGCUCUCAUUGCAACUAACAAGGUGACGCCAUUGAAAUGACAUUACGAUCCAGUUUACUAGUUAAGACCAAAAGGACCCUGGGAAACAAGAUGUAUUUUGAUGCCUAUCCCGCAUCCUCGUCGUCGUCGACUCGACGGUGGAGGCCUGCUUGAUCAGGGCCAUGUUCGGGACUGGGCUCCGCCGGGCUGGUAUUGGGAGGUGCUACCUUCCGGGGGACGUAGGUUGGUGAGAAGGCAACCCGUUGUUGACCCGAUCCUUGUUUGGUGGCGGUCGCGUGGGCCAGUGACGGUGGUGAGGCAUCCGGACACCGCGGAGGUGGUACGUCACCGUGUCAGCGAGAAGGACGAGCACGUCCGUCGCUACAUGGUUGCAUUGGAGGGCGGAUUCGACAAUACCUGGCAGGUUCUUCAGGGAUCUCACUGGAGCUAUGAUCCUGUGAUGGUUCCUUAUCUUUGGGUGUCCACCGCUCGCGUCGAUACCCGUCGGGCGCUACGGUUCUAGUUGUAUUAGUGAUAAUAUUCGACGAUGUACGGACACCAAGAGAUGAUAUACUUUUGCUUAUAAUUAUUGAAUGCAUGCUAAUUUGAAUACUAUACUUUAUUUUAUGAUUUGGUUUUGCUUAUUUUAUGAUUUGGUUUUGCUUAUUGAAUGCUCAUAUUGGAUAAGUUCUCUUUCAUUCCCGUGUGCUAGACAAUUUGAUAUAAUAAUGCAUUUGGGAAUGAAAGGAGGAGCUACGUACAUCGAUCAUCGAUAGUCAACCCAUGAUUAAUAAUAAUGAUCUAGUUUAAUAUUUGAAUUAUGAACGUAGGCCGGAAAUGUCGUACUCAUCGGACGACGAAAACCGCCCGGGGGAGUGCGACUGGUGCCACGACGACCGAGGUAUCUGCGACAGGUUCAUUGUGCUGGACAAAGAUCGUCGCUUCAGCAUUAAGCUCGAGGAGACCUUCGAUGUUCAUACGGUACGCAACCGACGAUAAUAGUUUUUUUGUAAUUACUCAUGACUUCAACUAUUUUAGUCAUGACAAUAUUUUUCAUCUUUUCCAAUUCGACUAGCUUAUCCCAUGCUUUGCAAGACGCUAUGUCUUAGAGAGGAUGGGUUUUGAAGACCAUGAAAGUUUCGAAACCAAAAAAAUUAUUCUAAGUACCCAUCAUGGUGUGAAUUUUCAAGUAAAGCUGUACAAUGCUCAGAGUGUAACCCAUUUUGGUUGCAAAAAUUGGGAAGCACUUUGCAAGAUGUAUGGUUUUGAUGAGGGUAUGCUUGUUACCAUGGAUCUUGGUGAUCCUACAAUCGAGCAAGAGAGACCUACGAUUUUCGUCCUUGUGAAUACACCUUCAAUUCUUCCCCCAUGUGAGCUUAACAUAGUUAUUAAGUAAUUUAUAUUGUUUAUUUCAAAAUAGUUGACAACUUAUUCUCCAUUGACAGCUUAUUUUCAUUCUUCAAAGAAUGUGCGGAAGAUGGUAGACAAAACCUACUACACCAAAGGCUCCGAACUAACUUAUCAUGAGAAAAAUCAUCUGGUCGCAUUUUGUACUGAUCUUGAAAAUUACAAUGUCUACAAUCGAACUCCUCAACAUUAUGGUCAAUACGUGCCACUAGUGCACGUGUUGAACUACGGUAACUACCAUGGAAAUACCCUGGUAAGAUUUUUGUACUAUUACAACAUCCGUGCAUCUUUUUGCACACUUCUAAAACUAGUACAUCAUAUCAUUGCUAACUACCAAGUUAUUACUAUGUUUUUCAACAGAUAAUCCCGAAUGAUUGUGUGCCUCAUCUGAUGUAUACACACGGUAGCCUUCAUGUUUUGAACAUACAACCAGGUUGUCCUACGAAUCUCAACUGUCCAUACCGGGUUUCUAAAAUAAGUGGAGACAUGAGAAUCAAAGAAUGGAAAAAAUAUAUGGACAGUCGUAAGGAGCUUCUUGGAAGCAACAUUCAGCGAAGGGCAAAAAUUGGAGACAGGAUGAUCGCCAUUCUUCAUAAUGGAGAGUCAGGAUCUAUAUUGUUUUAUGUUAUUUUACCUUAAGGGUGUUUAGGUCCUACCUGAUACUGAUGAUCAUGUGUUAAGAACAAUUAUGUAGGGUUGGGUUCGAUGACUAUGAGGAUGAUGAUCGUAUGACUUAUUAUUAAUAACGAGUAGAAGUUGUAUGAUGAUGCAUAAUUAGUAGGACGAGUACUUGUUAUUAUAUAUGCUGAUGUAUGCGAGCAUGCAUGAGUUAUUAUAUCAGCGGGUAAAAUGAACAUAUAUAGCAGCAGCGUUGGUAAACCAAGGACGAAGAUAUAAGAGAGGACACUUCUCUCUAUUAGCUAGCUAAUAUAACAACCUAAAAAUAACCCCCUAAACCCCUAAAAUAGCCAAUUUCCAAAAAAAAAACAUGGACUUUUGGUCUCGGUUGGUGCCACCAACCGGGACCGAAGGCCCCUUGACUGGGCUUGGCGCACAGAGCCACGUGGAGGCACAUUAGUCCCGGUUCUAGUUUAAAUCGGGACUAAUGGGUGGAGGUAUUAGUAACGGCCCAUUAGUCCCGGUUCAUGAACUGGGACUAAAGGCCCUCACGAACCGGGACUAUUAGGUGUUUUUCUACUAGUGUAGAUGCAUUUUAAGUGUGGAUUCAUUCAUUUUGCUCCGUAUGUAGUCCAUCCAGUGGAAUCUCUACAAAGACUUACAUUUAGGAACGGAGGGAGUAUUUGGCAUGCAUGCUUGGAUUGGGGGUAUUUUCUAUGCUUCUCCUCAAAAUAGACAAAAAUUACACUCAACCCAAGCAUGGCCUAAUCAUUGUUGCUAGUUGUUGCCCGUAUAGUUUUCAAUGUUAAAUCCACGCCUCCUUUUUCUUGAUUGUCUUACUUGUGCAGUGUUUUUCUAACAAGGCUUUUUGCAAUAGACUAAUUAUGUUAAUUUAAGAUUAAGACAUUGCUCUCAUUGCAACUAACAAGGUGACGCCAUUGAAAUGACAUUACGAUCCAGUUUACUAGUUAAGACCAAAAGGACCCUGGGAACAAGAUGUAUUUUGAUGCCUGCCCUUUUGUUAUAUUCCAGUCAUCACCGGUGACCCUGACGUAAGACAUAGUCCCUGAAGGAGUUUCUACACCCAGGGGCAAAUGCUCAAGGUGUGAACAGUAAAAUCAAAAAAAAAUCAAAAAAAAUAAUCUGAAUUUUUUGUUACAUACUUCCACAAAUGUUUGUUGUGCAUGCAAAAUUUCAUCGCGAAAUCACAUUGAUGAAAGGCAUGAUAAAGAAAAAAUCAAUGCUCUGAAAAUGUUACUUACAAAAGCAUUUUGGAGGUCUGACUUUGUUUUUUUGGCACGACUUCCACAAAUGUGAUUUUGUGAUGAAAUUUUGCAUGCACAACAAACAUUUGUGAAAGUAUGUAACAAAAAAUUCAGAUUAUUUUUUUUAUUUUACUGUUCACACCAUGAGCAUUUGCCCCUGGGUGUAGAAAGGUACUUUCGCUGAAGCAGCUACUUUCAUGAAAGUGCUUUUCUGAACUGAGCCUUUGUGAGCCCAAGGUGAACAGUAAAAUAGAAAAAAAUCAAAUAAUUCUGAAAAAGAUAGCAAACAUUGACAAAUGUUCUUGUAAAGUUUCAUCACAAAAUGACAUUAGUAAAAAUACAUGGGAAAAACGAUGUUUUUUGAUGAAAAAAAAAAUGUAUUUUGCUGUUCAUCCAAGCUCACAUAAGGUCAAGCUCGGUUUAACCUUGUCCCCACUUUCAUGCUUUCUGAGAAAUUCAACCCAAAAACAUCCCCUCAAGAAAUAAAUUCAACGCAAAAAAAUAAUCCACACAAUGUCAUAUUGCAUCCAUCCAAUCACCUACAGAAUGAUAAGGGUAGCUCCCAUUGAAAAUUCAAGACAUGGAAUCUGCAAUGUGCAUACAAGAUUCAUCAUCAUCGUCGUCGUCAUCAUCAUCAUCCAUCUUCAGGCACAAUAGAACCCCCAAGACACUCUGGUCCAAACCUGUCGAAUGGCCGUCCAUUUCGCUACCCUCUGCUACCACUACUACAUCUACCGGAACGAAAACUAGACAAAGUUCAACAUGAUUGCGCAAGACCAGGAACAACGAAAUGUAAAACACAAGAGGGUCAUCAUCUGAAGGAGCUCCAUAACAUGUAGAUGAAGUAGCACGCUCCCCACCGGCAAAACUAGAUAGUCGAUCAUGCAUCGGCCUUCUCGCUCUAAAGAUAUUUGAAGAGGAUGCCUCCAUAGGUGGCGAAGAAGGGGGCGAACACGAGGGACUCGACCGCCAUGAGCUUGAUGAGGAUGUUGAGUGAGGGGCCCGAGGUGUCCUUGAGAGGGUCCCCGAUGGUGUCGCCGAUCACAGCAGCCUUGUGGCAGUCCGAGCCUUUCGGGCCCAGGCUCUUUGCGUGCUCAGAUGCGCCAGCCUAAAACCAAGGAAACACACAGUUAAUGAUUUUUGGCAAACGCGUGAGGAAAAGGAAAGCUCCUGACUGAUGGGGGUCAAAGGAUCUUUACCUCAAUGUACUUCUUCGCGUUGUCCCAGGCACCACCGGUGUUCGAUGCUGAAAUGGCAAUCUGGAUAAAAACAACACAGUUUUGAGUGGAACAUCACAUGGCUAUGCAUGCAGCAACAGAGUACGGAAACAGAAUGCUAAGUAUAUUCCCACAAAACAGAAUGUUCCACCAACCUGAACACCAGAAACCAGAGCACCGGCAAGGACACCAGAGAGGGUCUCAACGCCAAAGAAGGUCCCGACAAUAAGAGGUGUCAGCAUGACCAGAGCACCCGGGGGGAUCAUCUCCUUGAUGGACGCAUCGGUGGAGAUCUUCACACAUGUCGCAUAGUCAGGCUUGGCGGUGCCCUCCAUGAGCCCAGGGAUGGUGUUGAACUGCCUCCGCACUUCCUCCACCAUCUUGAGAGCCGCGCUUCCAACACUCUUCAUGGUCAUUGCAGAGAACCAGUACGGGAGCAUGGCACCAACAAGGAGGCCAAUGAAAACGUUUGGUGUCAGAACAUCAACAGUUGUGAUCCCGGCACGGCUCACAAAGGCACCGAAGAGAGCAAGGGACACCAGGGCAGCCGAGCCAAUUGCAAAACCCUACAGGUAAAAAACCAUGGUAAACAGAGUUUAGUAGUUUGAAAUGAAAUUUGUGGAAAGAAAUUAUAACUGAAGAAAUAUUCUAUGGAGUAUUCAAGUUACAGUGGAAUGCACUUCCUUGAAUGAGAUAAUAAGGUCAUUCAGCUCUCAAAUUAAAGACAGAAAACAAGUUAAAGAUUGUAUACCUUUCCAAUGGCAGCAGUUGUGUUUCCUGCAGCAUCCAGAGCAUCAGUUCUCUCACGGAUUCUGUGGCUCAUGCCAGCCAUUUCAGCGAUGCCUCCAGCGUUGUCACUGAUAGGGCCAUAGGCAUCAAUGGCAAGACCGGUCGCAAUUGUGCUGAGCAUUCCAAGAGCAGCCACAGCCACACCAUACAUCGCGGCAAGGCUGAAGCUGAGGAAAAUACUGAAGGCAAUGGCGAAGAUAGGGAUAAUAACUGAUUUGUAUCCCAGAGCAAGACCAAAGAUGACAUUGGUAGCAGCUCCAGUUCUGCAGGAAUCAGCAACAUCCUGCACAGGACUGAAAGCGCCGAACUGUCAGGAACUUGAAACUCACAAUGAGAAUUAUACAUGACCAAAAUUGCAAGUACCUGUAUGCAUUGCUUGUGUAGUACUCUGUAAUGAAUCCAAUGACUAGGCCAGCCCAGAGACCAACCGCCACACACAAAAAUAGUUGCCUGUAAAAUAGAAGGUGAAGUGAGAUCAUGAAUUCAAUGAGGAAGGCCUGAACAAAAUUAUAUAAAUUCAAAUUGAAAAGAUGGCAAUACCAGCUAUGCACAGUCUUCUGGGCACCAAAGUUGAAUAUUGUGAAGGUAUACGGGAGGCCUAACCAACUGACAAGUGCAAUGCCAGCGGUCAUCACGGCAGUGGAGAUAAUAAGCUGUUUUUUAAGGGCAGGCUCUAUUUGAUCUACCUCCUUCACCUCAAAGAAAUCGGUUGCAAAAAGAGUCGUUAUCAAACAAGCUAUUAUACCCACUGAGCUAAUUAGGAGUGGGUACAUCAUGGGGGUGAAUUGAUGGUUAAUUCCGAAGGAAGAGAUCGAGGCAACAACAAGAGCAGCACAAGACGACUCGGCGUAGGAACCAAAGAGAUCUGAACCCAUUCCAGCAAUAUCUCCAACAUUGUCACCAACAUUGUCUGCAAUGACCUGCAUGAAGGAAGGAAUGAUCAUUCUCAUGCGUAGAUAAAAAAUACUACCUAUCAGAAUAUUAAUACUCUGUUCGACAACAGAGGAUAGGCACUUACAGCUGGGUUCCUCGGGUCAUCUUCAGGGAUGUUCCUUUCUACUUUCCCAACAAGAUCAGCGCCAACAUCAGCAGCUUUGGUGUAAAUCCCGCCGCCUACACGGCCGAAAAGAGCCAUGGAAGAACCGCCGAGACCAUACCCGGUGAUAGCCUCGAAAAGGCCCUCCCAGUCAUCACCAUAAUAAAGCCCAAACAGGUUGAUUGCGACGUAGAGAACAAAAAGGCCACUCGCAGCAAGAAGGAAGCCCAUCACAGCACCAGAGCGGAAAGCGGUGAUGAACGCCUUCCCGACACCCUUCCUUGCCUCGAGAGUGGUCCUGGCAUUCGCGUAGGUCGCGAUCUUCAUUCCGAGGAAACCAGACACAAGCGAGGUGACCGCACCCAGCACAAAGGCAAUUGUGCUGAAGGCGGCGUUGGCAAGAGCAGGCUUGCAUGUCUUGCCCACGCUGUAAUGGCAAGGCUGGCUCUUUGUGCUGAACCCCUCGAUGGAGCCAAGGAAGACGAAGAUGAGGACCGCGAAAACGGUCAUGAACCCUCCGGCAUACUUGUACUCGGUGAAAAGGAAGGAGGUUGCCCCUGUUUUACAAGAGAGCAAGAGUGUUCAGACCACAAAUGCAUAUACAACAAAGGUAGACACUAAGCAUUUUCAAGAGGAAGUUUAUCAGGAAUAAAACAUGGAGGCAAAUACAAAAUAUCAAAGGUGAGAGUAAUGACAAUGUACGUACUGUGUUGUGAGCCAUACAGCAACCUGCUGGCCUUUUAUUUUAUCAAAAAAAAAAACAAAAAAAAAACUGACCUCGACCUGACCCAACACAUAUUCUUAGAUUAUAUUUAACCCUAUUUUUAUUUAACCCUAGCAAGAUCUUGAAACAAACUUACAUACCAUUAUUAAGAAUAUAAACCAGCUAACAAAGCCUUGGGCAAAACUGCAAAUAAAACAGAGCACUAAAAUCAGCAGCACCUAACAGAAAAUUUGUCCCCGUGUCUUCAAAUGGCAGCUGGGAGGACGGCGGUUGCAAUACCUUGUCCUCUUCUUCAUGCAGUCAGUCAGCUUACCCUAUCUAUCCCUGCACCGCAGCGUGGUCGCUGCUGGGCUUUGUUGGGCCCGGGGACCUCACUUCUCACCAAGAACAAAUCACUUCUAGUUUUUUUUUCCUAAGUAGAACAAAAAAACACUUCUGAUUUACUGCCAACCGUCAACCAUCCCCGCAGAUCUGCAUCCCCACCCACUCGUUCCCCACAAGAAAUAUAUAUCUCCAGGGAGAAAAAUCUUGUCGGGAGUGAGCGGAUGGUUAAUUAAUCGAAAUUUAACCACGAUUAGUCAGCACGCGCUGGAGCGAGGAUUAUUAUAUCGCGUGCUGCGCAAAGCGGGGACAAUCGAUAUUAUAAUGUCUGCUCGCAGAUCCACCUAUAAAGUGUAAGACUGAUACUAUAGAAGUUGAUAGAAGUACAUAAUCAAGCAUAUAAUAAAUUACGAAUCCAUGCAUCAAAAUAUGAAGAAAUUACCGCUACAGAACACAUCAAAAAUAUGAAAUUACCGCUGCACAACACACCAUCUACAGUAUCAUGCUGGAUUAUGAUGCUACACGCUACGCGCCGCGGCGGAUUCGGACAGGAAAAGUUUCUGACGGCGUUCACGCCGCAAGCGAACAGAAAGCAGUCAAACCGGCGGGGAGACUACUGCUGGCGCCCGGUUCCUGCGCGCUCGGGAGGCCGCAGCCGGCGCCGAGAUGGCCGAGAUCUACCUACCCGCCCGCCCUCGGACGCCGGAUCGAUCCACGCCCGCCGGCCGGCGCCGACCGGAGCGCGAACUACUACUACUACCAGCUACGGCCGCCGGGCCGGGCCAUAUCUCUGUGCUGUGUGGGGGUGCGUGGCUCACCUUCGGAGAUGGCGGUCUGGAUCUCGGCGCACUUGAGGACGACGUUGUGGUCGUUGAGGCCCUCCUCCUCCUCGAUGAGGUACUCGCUGGCGCCGUCCUUGCCGCCCGCGCCGGCGCCUCCUCCGGCCGCCGACCCGCCCUCGCCGCGCGGCUCGGGGGCGACCUUCACCUUGGAGACCAGCACCCACUGCAGCACCGCGAACGCGAUGCCGACCGCCGCCGCCACCGGCACCACCAGCUGCGUGGCCAGCUCCGGCAGGAUCGCCGCCGCCGCCACCAUCUCCGCCGCCGGAAAGAUCAGCACGCGCCCAAGACCGGUUCUUUCCCGUUCCGUUCCCCCACCUUCCGCGGAGGAUCAGGUAGUACGAGAGCGAGGGAGAGCGGAGAGCAGCGCAGGCGAGGGGAGCGGCGGCUUUUAUAGCCGGAGCGGAGAGGAGAGGGAGGCCGGGAGUGGGGAGAGGAAGAGGAUGGAGCUGGAGUGUAGGCGGUGACGUGGAGGCCGGGAGUGGCAGUUCCGUGAUUUGCGGGGUCUUUGGGCUAUCGCUCUGUUCCGUUUCACCUCCCUCCCUGGUCAAGAGGGUGAAAAGAGAUCGCCUCCGAGUCUAUCCUCUCCCGGUCAAGAGGGAGUGUGAGCAUUGUUAAUGUAGCGAUAAAAAAGUUAUAUGGAUAUUUUUUUUCACGGGUAGUUUUGUGGUGGUGUUGGCGGUUGAAAGUCGGGCUGUUGUUGUUCUGGAUUUCUGGAGGUUGACAGCGGUGGUGGUUAUGCGUUGCGAGUUCGCCAAAGGGUCAAAGUCUUGGGUUGACGUCUCGAGCGCCUCGCAAUGAGCUGGGUUUUCUUGCAUGGCGGACGGCGCGUUGUGGCAAUGGGAAGGUGGCGUGGCUUUGUCGGGCUUUGGGCCUCACGACUCCCGAGAGUGGGUGGACGGCGGAUGACGUGUGUAUGCGCUAUGCUUGGCGGUUGGGAAUGCGGUAAUGAAUGCCAGUUGCGAGACCGUAAUAACGUCGGAUAGUUGUUGAUAGUUGUUGGCACGAUGCACGUAGAAGAUGUGUGGACUUCGUCGGUCUUCGGACCGCACGGCUCCCAAGGGUGGGAGAGCGGCGGAUGGGGUGUAUGCGUUAUGCUUGGCGGUUCUGAAAGCAAUAAUGAAUGCCAGCUGCGAGACCAUAGUAACGUCAGGCUUUUCUUUAUCGUGACACUUAGGAUAGUUGUUGACAGUUGUUGGCACCAUGCACGUAGAGGAUGCGUGGACUUUGUCGGUCUUCGGACCUCACGACUCCCAAGAGUGGGAGAGCGGCAGACGGGGUGUAUGCGUUAUACUUGGCGGUUCUGAAAGCAAUAAUGAAUGCCACCUGCGAGGCCAUAGUAACGUCAGGCUUUUCUUUGUCGUGGCACUUAGGAAAGUUGUUGACAGUNNNNNNNNNNNNNNNNNNNNNNNNNNNNNNNNNNNNNNNNNNNNNNNNNNNNNNNNNNNNNNNNNNNNNNNNNNNNNNNNNNNNNNNNNNNNNNNNNNNNNNNNNNNNNNNNNNNNNNNNNNNNNNNNNNNNNNNNNNNNNNNNNNNNNNNNNNNNNNNNNNNNNNNNNNNNNNNNNNNNNNNNNNNNNNNNNNNNNNNNNNNNNNNNNNNNNNNNNNNNNNNNNNNNNNNNNNNNNNNNNNNNNNNNNNNNNNNNNNNNNNNNNNNNNNNNNNNNNNNNNNNNNNNNNNNNNNNNNNNNNNNNNNNNNNNNNNNNNNNNNNNNNNNNNNNNNNNNNNNNNNNNNNNNNNNNNNNNNNNNNNNNNNNNNNNNNNNNNNNNNNNNNNNNNNNNNNNNNNNNNNNNNNNNNNNNNNNNNNNNNNNNNNNNNNNNNNNNNNNNNNNNNNNNNNNNNNNNNNNNNNNNNNNNNNNNNNNNNNNNNNNNNNNNNNNNNNNNNNNNNNNNNNNNNNNNNNNNNNNNNNNNNNNNNNNNNNNNNNNNNNNNNNNNNNNNNNNNNNNNNNNNNNNNNNNNNNNNNNNNNNNNNNNNNNNNNNNNNNNNNNNNNNNNNNNNNNNNNNNNNNNNNNNNNNNNNNNNNNNNNNNNNNNNNNNNNNNNNNNNNNNNNNNNNNNNNNNNNNNNNNNNNNNNNNNNNNNNNNNNNNNNNNNNNNNNNNNNNNNNNNNNNNNNNNNNNNNNNNNNNNNNNNNNNNNNNNNNNNNNNNNNNNNNNNNNNNNNNNNNNNNNNNNNNNNNNNNNNNNNNNNNNNNNNNNNNNNNNNNNNNNNNNNNNNNNNNNNNNNNNNNNNNNNNNNNNNNNNNNNNNNNNNNNNNNNNNNNNNNNNNNNNNNNNNNNNNNNNNNNNNNNNNNNNNNNNNNNNNNNNNNNNNNNNNNNNNNNNNNNNNNNNNNNNNNNNNNNNNNNNNNNNNNNNNNNNNNNNNNNNNNNNNNNNNNNNNNNNNNNNNNNNNNNNNNNNNNNNNNNNNNNNNNNNNNNNNNNNNNNNNNNNNNNNNNNNNNNNNNNNNNNNNNNNNNNNNNNNNNNNNNNNNNNNNNNNNNNNNNNNNNNNNNNNNNNNNNNNNNNNNNNNNNNNNNNNNNNNNNNNNNNNNNNNNNNNNNNNNNNNNNNNNNNNNNNNNNNNNNNNNNNNNNNNNNNNNNNNNNNNNNNNNNNNNNNNNNNNNNNNNNNNNNNNNNNNNNNNNNNNNNNNNNNNNNNNNNNNNNNNNNNNNNNNNNNNNNNNNNNNNNNNNNNNNNNNNNNNNNNNNNNNNNNNNNNNNNNNNNNNNNNNNNNNNNNNNNNNNNNNNNNNNNNNNNNNNNNNNNNNNNNNNNNNNNNNNNNNNNNNNNNNNNNNNNNNNNNNNNNNNNNNNNNNNNNNNNNNNNNNNNNNNNNNNNNNNNNNNNNNNNNNNNNNNNNNNNNNNNNNNNNNNNNNNNNNNNNNNNNNNNNNNNNNNNNNNNNNNNNNNNNNNNNNNNNNNNNNNNNNNNNNNNNNNNNNNNNNNNNNNNNNNNNNNNNNNNNNNNNNNNNNNNNNNNNNNNNNNNNNNNNNNNNNNNNNNNNNNNNNNNNNNNNNNNNNNNNNNNNNNNNNNNNNNNNNNNNNNNNNNNNNNNNNNNNNNNNNNNNAUACUUGGCGGUUCUAAACGCAAUAAUGAAUGCCAGCUGCGAGACCAUAGUAACGUCAGACUUUUCUUUAUCGUGGCACUUAGGAAAGUUGUUGACAGUUGUUGGCUCCAUGCACGUAGAAGAUGCGUGGACUUCGUCGGUCUUCGGACCUCACGACUCCCAAGAGUGGGAGAGCGGCGGAUGGGGUGUAUGCGUUAUACUUGGCGGUUCUGAAAGCAAUAAUGAAUGCCAGCUGUGAGACCGUAGUAACGUCAGGCUUUUCUUUGUCGUGACACAUAUAUAGGAUAGUUGUUGACGGUUGUUGACAUGAUGCACAUAGAAGAUGUUUUAACUUUCGUGGAAGAAACCAAGAGAAAACACAACCAUAUUAGUUGAUCCGGUGUUGUUAGCGGUUAAAAACCAUGAUAUUGGUCUGGUGCUUACCAGUGAUUAUGCGUCAUUCACUAAAGGGCCAAAAGUCUUGGCUUAACGCCUCGAGUGUCUCACAAUGAGAUUGAUUUUUUUCCCAUGGUGGACGGCGCAUUGUUGGCAACGGGAGAUGCGGUGACCGCGUAAGUGUCCGUCCAUCACGACUCCCAAGAGUGGGAUGAGGUAGAUGGCGUGUGCAUGCUAUACUCGACGGUUGUGGAAUCAGUAAUGAAUGCCAGCCCCAAGAACGUAGUGACAUCGGGCUUUUCUUUACCGUGACCUUUAGGAUAGUUGUUGAGAUAUCGUUGGCAUGACGUACAAGAGAUGAUGUUUUGACUUUUGUGGAAGGAACUAAGAGCAAACACCAACACAUUUUAGUUGAUCCGAUGUUGUUAGCCAUUAAAAAUCAUGAGAUUGAUCUGAUGCUUAGUACCGGUGAUUAUGUGUCGUUCAUUAAAGGGUCAAAGUCUUGGCUUGAUGUCUCAGAGUGUCUCACAAUGAGAUGUAAGUUUCUUCCAUGGUGGACGGCGUGUUGUUGGCAACGAGAAGAUGCAGUGACUUCGUUAGUCUUCGUACCUCGCAACUACCGGGAGUGGGAUGAGGUAGAUGUCGUGUAUGCGUUAUACUCGACGGUUGUGGAAUCAAUGAUGAAUGCCAGCCACGAGACUCUACACCAGGCUUUUCUUUGUUGCGACCCUUAGGAUAGUUGUUACGUUUGUUGGCAUGACAUACAAGAGAAGAUGCUUGACUUUCCGGGAAGGUACUUAGAGCAAACACCAACACAUUUAGUUGAUUUGAUGUUUUUACCAGUUAAAAACCACGAGACUGGUCUGGUGCUUAGCACCGGUGAUUAUGCAUCGUCCACUAAAGGGUCAAAGUCUUGGCUUGACGUCUCGAGUGUCUCACAUUGAGUUGUAUUUUCUUUCCAUGGUGCACAACACAUUGUUGGCAAUGAAAAGAUGUGGUGACUCCGUCGGUCUUUGGACCUCGCGACUCCCGAGAGUGGAAGAGCGGUGGAUGGCGUGUAUGCGUUAUACUUGCUGGUUGUGAAAGCAAUAAUGAAUGCCAACUGCAAGACCAUAGUAACAUGAGGCAUUUUUUUGUCGUGACACUUAGGAUAGUUGUUGGCAUGGCGUACAAAGAGAAGAUGUUUCAACUUUCAUGCAAGGAACUAAGAGAAAACACGAACACAUUAAGUUGAUCUGAUCUUGUUAAAGCGUAAAAAUCACGAGAUUGGUCUGGUGCUUAGUACCGAUGAUUAUGCGUCGCUCAUUAAAGGGUCAAAGUCUUGGUUUGAUAUCUCGAGUGUCUCGCAAUGGGCUAGAAUUUCCAUGGUGGUCGGCGUGUUGUUGGCAACAAGAAGAUGCGGUGACUUCGUCGGUCUUCGGACCUCGUGACUUUUCGAGAGUGGAUGAGAUAGAUGGCAUGCACAUGCUAUAAUCGAUGGUUGUCGAAUCAAUAAUGAAUGCCAGCUGCGAGACUGUAGUGACAUCAGGCUUUUCUUUGUCAUGACCCUUAGGAUAGAUGUUUUGGCUUUUGUGGAAGGUACUGAGAGCAAACACCAACCAUAUUAGUUGAUUUGAUGUUGUUAGCGGUUAAAAACCAUGAGAUUGGUUUGGUGCUUAGUACCAUGAUUAUGUGUCGUUCACCAAAGGGUUAAAGUCUUGGCUUGACAUUUCGAGUGUCUCACAAUGAGCUGGAAUUUUCUUCCAUGGUAGGCGGUGCAUUGUUGGCAACGGAGAGAUGUGGUGACUUCAUAAGCCUUCAUACCUCACAACUCCCAAGAGUGAGAUGAGGUAGAUGGCUUGUACAUGUUAUACUCGACGGUUGCAGAAUCAAUAAUGCAUGUCAGCUGCGAGAGCGUAGUGACAUUGGGCAUUUGGUCUUUUAUUUGUCGUCACACUUAGAUAGUUGUCGACAUGACAUACACAGAAGAUGAUUUGACUUCCGUGGGAGGAGCCAAGAGAAAACACAAUCAUAUUAGUUGAUACAUGAUAAAAUAACAUUAUAUAUAAUAGUAAUAUUUAAUGUGAGUUUUUUUUAGAAAAGGAGGAUGACCCCCGGCCUCUACAUCUGGGAGAUGCAUACGGCCAUAUUAUUGAUUAUUCUCGAGGUCCUUACAAAGUAGUACAACAAUAUGUCUGAAUCCGCCAUCUUGGCAGCAUCUGCCGCUACUCCUAUCCAAAUGAUGAAGGGGUUGCAAGCUGGGCAAAAUACCCAAACCUCCCACCUAAGCCUAACAUCUAAAGCCGGAGGCCCCGACCGAGCCACAUACCGGGUCCGAGGCACAAUCCGGUCCAACGCACUCACAUGUGUCGUCGCUGCCAUCUUCCACUGGUCCAUCUUCAGAGCAGAUUGAGGUGCCAACCUUGGCAGGUUCCUCCGCCAUCGAUGCCACCAUGACGCCAAACGAUGACCACCAUCUACGCUAGUCCAUCAGGACGAAGACCGGCGGAGAAUAGGUGAAACGCCACACACAUUGCCGCCACCAAACACCUCACACGCACUGCAAAGUGCCCACCAUGCUUCCGGGAACCCCAGGUGACGCCUUCAAGAAGGAGCACGACGAGGGUACGACGCCGUCGCCCGCAGGGGAACUAGAGCUUUCACCCAAAGGAAGAUCACAGUGAAGGAUGGGAGAGGACCUCAACAAGGCCUCCAAGAAGGGGACCGACGCCCAGCAAAGGCGCCGCCAUUGUCGUGGCCUCCGCCGACGGCCAAGGGUUUCCCCCGGUCCCGCCCCCAUCCCAUCCACCCGGCCAAAGCCUGGCCAGGGGAGCGCACGCAGCCGGAGAAGGCGUUGGACUUCAUCGAAGCAGGCACGCCGGGUGACGGGGCACCCCGACCUACUGUAGUUGACGUCCACCGAGACCUCGCUGCCCACACGGCCGAAGUCGCGGACCACCAGCACCCACGGCCGUCGCCCGCCGAAGAGGCAGCGCCGUCCACACCGCCCGAGGCCGCCGCCCCGGCAUCCACCCACCGCAUACAUCCCGUCAAAACAUGGAGAACAACCCACACCGCCGCCACCAGGGAGCACCACACCGCGAACACCCGAGCCAGGCAGGACGAGGCAAGGCCACGCCGGCCAGAUCCGGGCGGAUCCGGUGAACCCCGGCCCACCAGCCGCCAGAUCGGAGUAUUUAAUGUGAGUUUAAAGAAGACAAUCACAUCUCCCACUAUAUUGCCAUGGCAUUGCAUAUAUUGUGUCUAAUCUUGUUACUUUGUGACAGAGUUGAACUUUUCUUUCAUGGCAGAGAGUGUGUUGUUAGCAAUGGGAAACUGUGGUGACUUCGACGGUCUUCGGAACAUACAUUUCCAAGAGUAGGAGGAGAAUGGUGUGUACAUGUCAUACUCAACGGUUGUACAAACAAUAAUGGACGCCAAUUGCGCGAUUGUAGCGAUAUCGAGUUUUUCUUUGUCCUGACACUUAGGAUACUUGUUGACAUGAUGCACAUAGAAGACGUUUUGAAUUUCGUGGAAGGAACCGGGAGCAAACACAACCAUAUUAGCUGGUACAUGAGAAAAAUAACAUUUUGCAAAUGGUAAUAUUUGGCAUGAGUUCCAAUCGUUGUAAUAGCUGGCGUGAGUUUCAAUUGCCUCUCCCACUAUGAUACCAUGACAUUCCAUGGAUUGUUAUUAAUCUCAAAGAAGAUAAUUCUCCCAUUGAAAUCUCGGACUAAUGCGGUAAGAAUAGCUAACAUACAAUGAGUGAUACCCAUCAGCAUGCGUUCCAAUUGUAUCCAGCUAUACAGCUUCUAAUGCAUGUUUAAGUGAUCAAAGAAAUUAUUUUGUAACAUAUAUAGUACACAUAAACGGCAAAUAAUUAAUAUGGCAACUAGGCAAUUGAAUGGCAAUUGAAUAAUAUGUAGCUCGUGCUUGAAAGCCAAGCAACUCCUAUGAUACUUAGUCAACAGAGAUGGCCGUACGCCAUCCACCCAUGAUCAAAAGUACCGAUUUGACAGUGAGCUGGAUAUUGUGACAACAAGUCAAAUGGCUGGAUAUUAGGUAUGAGCCUAUAUCUUUUGCCCCGUAUUACAUAAUUAUUUUCUCUCGGAUAAAAAGCAAGUACAAAUAUAAACCAGAAUUAAAUAAGAAUCUAUGGCAUUCAAGAAACAAGAUAAUAUACGUAUACUAACAAAAGUUCUUCAGCGAAAGCUCAACUAUACAACUAUACAAUGCAUUUUGUUAUAUGAACUGAAGGGCGCAUCGGUAUCUCCAAACCAUCAUCAACCUCUAAUCAGAUGACUCAUCGCUGACUCAUCUUAACGGAGAAUCGGCAAGAAGAUAUCUCAAAUCAUUUGGAUAUUCCCAUGACCGGUAAGAAUAACAAAUUCGAAAAACAUAGUUUGACCAAUACCGACUUUUUGCAGGGAGAGAGAAAACAUGAAGAAUAUACUUGACAAAAGGGGGGAUGAAAAUAACCAUAACAAAAUUAUGUUUAGUUAGGAAUAUUAACAUUUCUAACAAAUAUUAGAGUUAGCCCUUGAUUUGCAGUCUUAAGGAGUAGUAUUUAAGAAACAAGACAUUACACACAAUAACUAACUCUGUUCAGCAAAAGGGUUAAGAAGGCAUCAGAAUCAAAUGAUGUGUUAUGGAGUGACGAGGCAGGCAUCCGAAUCAUACUUCGACCCGUUGGAUGAACACAAGCAAAAAGCAUGGAAAUAUUCCAUAUACUUUUUGGCUAAAGAAAAGGCAGGAGAAAGGUAUAUGCACGAAAGCCGGACGAGGUGAGCCGCCACAUGACACUCCCCUCUUCCAUAAUUCUCUGUUUGCUAGAUCACAGUUUUGCGAAACUAAUUUAAUUAGUCGCGGUGUUAAGACAAGGAGUGCGUGUGGUACAUGGUCACAUGCUAUAUUAAUCACUCUUGUAAGCUUAUUGAAUGAGAGUUGCUGGUUGCUAGUGGCUGGGUGUGCACAUCACCUUGCUCUUAUCUUUCAACCCCUAAAAAUAACAAAUUAACAAAUGGAAACACUCCAAGGCUCUUUCAACGAAAACAAUUUAAUCACUUACUUAAAAUUCUCUAAGAAAACUAGGCACAAGAAAUGGAAAAACAAAAUGCUUGCUACAAACUCAAAAGAAAGCGACGCGAUAACUGUACCGAGAUACUGAAAAAGCUGAGCCGUUGAAAAUGAUUUAACAUGAACGGUUGUGUAUGUUUUUUUCUAGCGUAGCAUGGGUAUUAGUUAGUAUUUUUAGUAAUAUUAUGGUUGGGCUUAGCCGCUUAGGUGGUCUCUGUUUAAUUAUGAUUGCGCGUAGGUUCUCUGUUUUAGUACCAUUCUUUUCCCUCUAUUUUUCUGCGAGUUUUUUUUUUUGAACUUUACAUCGCUGUUCCAGCUAGACAUGCAUGGUCCUUGGUAGCCUAACAGCCUGCAUUAUGGCUUCACCUGCAUGGUCUCUGCAUGUGAUUUGUUUCUGUUAUGUCUAUAUUGUUUGCACCUGGCAGUAGGUCACAAAUCAAUGUCGGUGCCACCUUGUGCAGUACCUAAAAUCUGUCCGUAUUUGCAGCAUUUUGAAAUGCACAUGCAUGCAUAUUUUUAAGCCAACUAGAACUGGAUCUAGCAUGAUACUAUUUCAGCAUUUCUUAUGGCAAUGUCCAUGUCUUUGUUUCAAUCAAGAAAAGAAAAACGGUGUUCAUGUCAACAAUAAAUUAGUUGUAUAAUAUCCAAUCAAAUGGAGUAUAUCUCCCUCUGUCCGGAAAUACUUGUUCCAUGUCAACAAUAAAUUAUUUGUAUAAUAUCCAAUCAAAUGGAGUAUAUCUCCCUCCGUCCGGAAAUACUUGUGAGAGAAAUUGAUGUAUCUAGACAUAUUUUAAUUCUAAAUAUAUCAGUUAUUAUCCAUUUUUGCGACAAGUAUUUCCAGACGGAGGGAGUAGUUAAUUACAUUGUGUAUGGACAAGUGCAUGUGGCCUGUGCUUAGGAAAGAGUAAGACAGCACAGUGGACAACGAUUUAAUAGGUAUCCGGUCACACAGCGCAGUGGUGGUGAUCACUGUCUGUCAAAUGAGUUAAUUAGUUGAGAGUGGCUGCCACUGGUGGGUCUAGAGGAGACAUCAGCUGCAUCACUGGAAUAGAAACACUUGUCCUAACAUUAGGUGGGGAUCUAGGUCCAGAUAUGUGCCCAACCUGUUUAGAUCAUAACUGAAGUCAGGAACAUAUGCCUGAUGCCCAGUGACCUUGUCAAAGCAAAAUGAUGGUUAUCAAGCAUAUCUGAUGGCUAUAAAGAGUAUAGUCCGUGAGUGCAAAUGCUAGGGUACGUUUGCCUCAAAAUAUUUGUGCUCCUAUUGAUAAUUAAGCAAAUUCAGUGAGAGUAAUAUGUAACUUUGGAACAAUUAUUGGGGACUUGAACUUCUUUUAUUAAAAAAGCCAUUGAUAUAUUACCUUCGCCCAGUCAAACUACACCUUAUAUUUUCUCCCGCAAAGGAAAAAAAAACUACACCUUAUAUUUUGAAACAGAGGUGGUGAGUAAUAGCGGUGCAAGAAGGGAGAAUGGUAAGGUUUGCACAAUAAAAUAGACACAGGAAGAAAUGGGAUCAAGAAGAUUGAUCCCAUUUACAUGUGGGCAGAUGCUACUCAACAUGUGAAUGUCCAACUCACAUUACACAGAGUAAUUAAUCCUAGGCCAUGCUAAUUCAUCUAUGAAUUCAUAUGGUGCACACUUGUCCAAAUCAAGGUGGUUUCUCACAAACCCCACCAUGGAUGGUAUGGUAUGGUAGACAGGUCCACAAGAUAUUUCCCCCCUUAAUUUCAUCAAAUGUUAAUCUUUUUCUUGUCUUGACUUAAUGGUAGGUGAGACCCUUGAUGGUGAUGGUGAUGCUCUGUCUACUUUCUAGAUUCAUGGGAGCAACACACUUCCAUCACGGUACUGAAGACACUUUAGUCUCUGCAAGGAACAAUAAACAAAGAUACAGAGGGUAUGUAUAUACAGCUCCAAAUGGCAGAAGUUGGCUAGAUUUGAACACUGGAGGAAAGAGGCCUAACUGCAAUAGUUUAGGUUAAAUAAGAUCUGCAUCUCCAUGACCCAACAGUUACCAGGCAGCUUCCAUAUGCAGCUCAAAAAAUAACCAAAUUCCAGCUAUCAUUGAUGUGCAUUGUCAGUAGUGCAGCAAGUGGCCUGAUGCUGGUGCAGCCAAAAUACAGAUAUUGCCCCAAUUACCCCAUCUCCUUAUCAUAGACUUCACUGCCGCAAGUGGGCUUCUCUUUUGAUAUAUUCCUCUUUAUCUCCCCAAGAACAUAUUCCAACAGAAAGAAAGAAGAAAGGAUAGUUUGGGAUGCGAAAAAGAAGGACGGAAAAUUCCAAAUAUUGGGACGUGUUGUAUCGAAGAAGACAUAUCCCGCAGCUCGCAGCGGCUAGCACGGACCACCGAAAAAGACCACGGUCCCGGGCAUCAUGGCUCGCCUUAACUCCGAGAUCCGACAAAAAACGGCGAAAACAAACCGGUUUCCGCGCUCGAGGAACAUGCAAAAUUCGACAACCCGCACACACACACACACACACACACACACACACACACACAAAAUAUCCCAAUGCCAGGAGGCCAAUGAUCCAGAACCCCAAACAAUGGAGUUUACAGCAACAUACAUAUAUCAUGCAUUAUCCAGCAGAAAUAAAGUGUGUGAUUCUGAGGGUGGAACAUAUCACCUCAGGCUUUCGGGCUCACCCUCCCAAGGUGUGAUCUGGUUCAGGCAUUUCCUGCCCCCCAUUGACAGGCCUUAUCCUUCCCCGGGCCAAUGGAGGACACAGAUCCCCAUCCCCUCUAUUAGGUGGUGAGUGUGACCAGCUGUGUGCAGUUAUAGUGAGAGGGAUGCAAAGCUUGUUCUCUAGCAGAACAUGUCCUGUGGCUCUACCUGGUCACCACAUGGUGCCCAACUGUCAACCCAAGGAGGGUUUCCAGCAAAUAAUUCGGUUUCUAGCUUACUUCCAGCUUGCCGUUUAGAGGAGACUUUAGUCCUAGGCGUAUAUUUUGCGGGGUUAUUAUGCUAUGGGUUUCGGUCAGGGAUGGCGGCAAAAUAUAUGAUAAAUUUCCCGUAACACGGUUGAAAUUGAUUUUCGCCGCAGGUUCAGAGCACGUGUUGUCAGGAUUGAUAUAUUCAGGUCCAUUUCGUAAGAGUAAUAUACUACUGUUCAUGUCAAAUUCAGCCUACUCGUAUAUGACUAGACUACACCAGAUGGACACCAAGUCAUGGUGAUCUACUUAAAAAAAAGGGGGAGAAUACCAAGAAGAGUAAUCACAUUCAGAAGUCCCUCUUAUGAUUAGAUAAUUUACCGAAUUCACGGUUCAAAUUAAUUUUUACUACAGGCUUUAAGGCACGUGUCACGAGACCGAUCCAGGUCCAUUUCAUGAUAAUUCUAUACUUACUUUUCAUGUCAAGUUCUACUUACUCCUACAUGACUAGACUACAAAAGCAUAGGUAUGUUACAUGUAGUCUCUAGAUGAUGGACACCAGGUCAAGGGUGAUCUACCUAAACAAAAGCAAAAUGAGGAGGCAUCAAGAAGGGUGAUCACAUUCACACACUGUGUGUACAAUAGAUAAAUUAUAGUAAGCACUAGGAGAGGCGUGGACGUCUAGAUCUUACACCACCUCUUCAUAUCUAACUCCCUUAGCUCCCAAGUAUAAGGUCAUUUUCAGCAUCCAGAAAAGGGGUGCACAUAUCCAAUGAAGCAGGUGGCAGACCAACCUUUAUUCUUCUCUCUCUCUCUGGGAGAGAUGCACACAUGUCCUAAAAUUACAGUCAUCAGAAGUCUCUCUUAUGAUUAGACAAAAGGUUUUACAGAACUACUACUAGGAAUCAGUUUCUAGUCACUUUCGCACUUUGCAAAUUUGCAAAAUAGGUUCCAUAUCCUACCAAUUUCUCGUCACUUGUGCGCCUUUGUAACAGGUUCCAUAUCAUGCUAUCAAACUGCUAGCUAGGGUGCACUAAGAACAGACCAAGGUGAGGCGCAAUCAUGUCCUGCGAGCGGGACACUGUCAUCUUCCCGAACUAAAAUUAAUAGCUUCUGGAAUGCAUCAUCAUAACAGAUUGAAGUUUUCAAAAAGGAAAAGAAAAUGGCAGAUCCAUAACAUAUUGACAAGGCUGGAUAUGGACUCUACUUUGUCUGACCGACCACACAGCUAGUAUCAUCCAUAAAUGAAGAGGGCCAAAUUCGUACCUACGAAAUGUUAUCAGGAACCGACUAAGUACAUAGCCCUGGAGAAGAGUUCAACCAUGAGCCUGCCAUAGUAUCAGUUCAGAUACGUACCGAAAAGGGUAUCUGAUUUUUCUUUUCAUAUUCUGGCGGUGUUUGUGAUCAACCAAAGGUCAGCAUCAGGAUGUCUCUACCGAUAGUCAACGACUCAGCAAGGCAUCCAAUAUUCAAAUGGUUAACAAGUUGACACACUGUACUUGACGUGAGCUAUAUAAAUCAAAUAAUUCAUGACUAGUUCAGCCAGGUGUUUCACAAGGUUUUCCAUUACAAACCUAUUACAUCUUAGAAUACAGUAGAAUACAUUAAAAGUGGGCAAAAGAGUUUCCACCUUGUCCCAGCCUCCCAUGGAAGUGUGAAGCAGUCUGGCACGGAUGUUUGUCGCAUCAUAAACUUAAGCCACAUACUGUCCCACGUUCUACAUCUAG